GAUGAAGAACGUAGCGAAAUGCGAUACGUAAUGUGAAUUGCAAAUUCAGUGAAUCAUCGAGUCUUUGAACGCACAUUGCGCGCCCUGGUAUUCCGGGGGGCAUGCCUGUCCGAGCGUCAUUGCUGCCCUCAAGCACGGCUUGUGUGUUGGGCCUCCGUCCUCCUCCCGGGGGACGGGCCCGAAAGGCAGCGGCGGCACCGCGUCCGGUCCUCGAGCGUAUGGGGCUUCGUCACCCGCUCUUGUAGGCCCGGCCGGCGCUUGCCGACACAUCAAUCUUUUUUCCAGGUUGACCUCGGAUCAGGUAGGGAUACCCGCUGAACUUAAGCAUAUCAAUAAGCGGAGGA
Molecule: unclassified non-coding RNA, 344 nt
Filed under: soil metagenome
Description: partial contains 5.8S ribosomal RNA, internal transcribed spacer 2, and large subunit ribosomal RNA
Rfam family: 5.8S ribosomal RNA (bases 1-119)
Source: RNAcentral